Molecule: non-coding RNA, 261 nt
Organism: Paramuricea clavata
Lineage: Eukaryota; Metazoa; Cnidaria; Anthozoa; Malacalcyonacea; Plexauridae
Source: the annotation of a GenBank genome assembly
CUAUUUUCCCCCUAUAGAAAAUUCACAUUUUUUUAUGAUAAACUCCAUGUUGAAUCAUGUUGCCCUUCUUAAGCCCCCGCUCCCCCAACUCAAUGUUGAGCUUGUAUCAUGGUAUAUUACCAAAAGUUGUUUCGGCUUGUAUCAUGGUAUAUUACCAAAAGUUGUUUCGGCGUUGUUCACAACAUUGAACUGGGAGGGGAAGACAAAGUUUGUUUUGUCAAUGUUCAAUAACUUUGUAAUAUUAGCUGGAAUGGUCUCAAG